Molecule: ribosomal RNA, 434 nt
Filed under: uncultured Lachnospiraceae bacterium
Lineage: Bacteria; Bacillati; Bacillota; Clostridia; Lachnospirales; Lachnospiraceae
Description: bacterial SSU rRNA
Rfam family: Bacterial small subunit ribosomal RNA
Source: RNAcentral
ACGGAAGGCAGCAGUAGGGAAUAUUGCACAAUGGGGGCGACCCUGAUGCAGCGACGCCGCGUGAGUGAUGAAGUAUUUCGGUACGUAAAGCUCUAUCAGCAGGGAGGAUAAUGACGGUACCUGACUAAGAAGCCCCGGCUAACUACGUGCCAGCAGCCGCGGUAAUACGUAGGGGGCAAGCGUUAUCCGGAUUUACUGGGUGUAAAGGGAGUGUAGGUGGUCUGGCAAGUCAGAUGUGAAAGCCCGCGGCUCAACCGCGGGACUGCAUUUGAAACUGUCAGACUGGAGUGCAGGAGAGGAAAGUGGAAUUCCUAGUGUAGCGGUGAAAUGCGUAGAUAUUAGGAAGAACACCAGUGGCGAAGGCGGCUUUCUGGACUGUAACUGACACUGAGGCUCGAAAGCGUGGGGAGCAAACAGGAUUAGAUACCCUGGUA